AGACUUACUUGGCAGAGGCAAUCCCAUGAUCAGAGUGCUUUUUCCAGGUUGCAGCUUAUCCAUUGCUUUCUGAACAUGCUGACCCCUGUAAUUUCACCAAAUGUGGGAAACCCAACCCCAUCAUGUGGUCCUGGGGGAUUGUGUUUACACUCUACCCUG
Molecule: small nuclear RNA, 159 nt
Organism: Onychomys torridus (southern grasshopper mouse)
Lineage: Eukaryota; Metazoa; Chordata; Mammalia; Rodentia; Cricetidae
Product: U1 spliceosomal RNA
Exons: 1
Source: RefSeq, a predicted model, not a curated record